Molecule: long non-coding RNA, 1512 nt
Organism: Oryzias latipes (Japanese medaka)
Lineage: Eukaryota; Metazoa; Chordata; Actinopteri; Beloniformes; Adrianichthyidae
Source: RefSeq, a predicted model, not a curated record
CUCGGUGCCCGAGCUCAGUCAAACCAGAAAUAUCCGCUCCCUCCCUUCCCUCAGACACGUCCCCCUGGCUCAGCGGAGAAGCUUCCAUCACGCCGGAUGACAUUGGAUCAUUUUUCUCGUCCUGCACAUUCCAGCCAAAGAGGAGGACAAGGGGAGGGGAGCAGCUGCUGCUCUUGCUCUGUGAUUAUAUCAUUACAGAGCAGCAGACAUGUAUACAGUAUAUCAAGCACAGCCUGUCAUUAGCAUACUUUAUGUUCUGAUGGCUAAAUACAACUGUGCUCUGCCUGGGUCCCGGUUUGAGAAAGUACCGCAGAUUUGCAAUCCUGCAGCGUUCCAAGUUCCCUUUUCUCAGCCUUGAGCUAUAAAAUCCUUCUUUUCCCUUAUUUACUGUCCCAUUAUUCCUGCAGACACCUGUCGAGACAUGCAGGUUAUCAGAUCCUCUGCAGCCUCAGUCUAAAUAAACCGUGCAGUUGUGUAACAUGUUGGAGUCACCGGCUCCACGAAUAGCACACACCUGUCAAACACAGUCCUGCUUGUUCUCCCUGUGGAGGCUGACCUCCCCGCCUCCUGAACCCCAACGCUCCAACGUCAACAGCUCAGAGGCGUAGGAAGCGGAGACGGAGCCUUUCAAAAUGGCAGCCUGAACAAAGGCGGUGAAAGCUUUCCUCUGCCUCUGCGGAGAUGGUGCAGUGGAAGCCUUGAUUGACAGGAACAUUAGCUCUCAGAGGAAACGGCUCCCACCCAGUUAUGCAACACAGAGAAGAAACUACACGAGAUGAAAGAUGCUGCAUAUUGCAGCGCCAAUCCUGCAGGAAUCCUGGAUUAACACACAACAAAAAGAGAAAGCAGGAGAAAGGGGCAGCAUCCCAUAAUACAUCAUCACAGACCUGCUGACACACGCCAGAGUACUCUGUCAUUCAUCAGCCCGCGAGCUCGUCCUCUCUUCAGGAUGCUGAGACGCUUCUGCCGUCACCGCCGCCGCUGUGUCUGAGCGGGAGGCGCUGGUCUUUCUGCAUCGUCAUGCUCGCCGUCGCUCUGCAGCCGUGAAGGCAGAUGGUCCUCUUCCGACGCGGCGUCUUCUGCAAUCCAGACUCUCAGCUGAUCAGACAAACCUGUCAGGGAUGCAGAAACCAGCCUGCUACAGACAGUUCACAAAACCAUAAACCGUAUUUGUAAACUGGAGCGAGUGAGACAUUAACCGAAGAUCCAAACAAAGGAAGUCAAUUCGGUCGCCAUUUUUCCACAAUAUGGAAGCUGCCAUGUUGGAGCCGGACAACGUCAGAAAGCAGUGAUUGGUCAGAAUCGGUCUGAGUCAAUGUUUCUACGGCAACCACUCUUACCAAUCAGGAGUUGUUGGAGGGUCCACACCACUUAAAGGCAGGCUCGAGAGAAUCUGUCAAUCAAAUGUCCACCCACUUUUAUUAAGGCACUUUGAAUGACUUGCAUUACAGAAUAAAAUAUUAUGAAGAAAAACUCAACAUAAGCAAGAGCACAUUUGCUCCUUUGACACCG